This 484-nucleotide ribosomal RNA is filed under the name uncultured bacterium. RNAcentral's name for it is "partial 16S ribosomal RNA". It matches the Rfam family "Bacterial small subunit ribosomal RNA", at positions 30 to 507 of the family's 1533-position model. The record is from RNAcentral.
AUUGAACGCUGGCGGCAGGCCUAACACAUGCAAGUCGAGCGGAUGAAGGGAGCUUGCUCCUGGAUUCAGCGGCGGACGGGUGAGUAAUGCCUAGGAAUCUGCCUGGUAGUGGGGGAUAACGUCCGGAAACGGGCGCUAAUACCGCAUACGUCCUGAGGGAGAAAGUGGGGGAUCUUCAGACCUCACGCUAUCAGAUGAGCCUAGGUCGGAUUAGCUAGUUGGUGGGGUAAAGGCCUACCAAGGCGACGAUCCGUAACUGGUCUGAGGGGAUGAUCAGUCACACUGGAACUGAGACACGGUCCAGACUCCUACGGGAGGCAGCAGUGGGGAAUAUUGGACAAUGGGCGAAAGCCUGAUCCAGCCAUGCCGCGUGUGUGAAGAAGGUCUUCGGAUUGUAAAGCACUUUAAGUUGGGAGGAAGGGCAGUAAGUUAAUACCUUGCUGUUUUGACGUUACCAACAGAAUAAGCACCGGCUAACUUCGUG